GAAAAUAAUUAGAACCUGUCUAGUAUCUGCUGAAUCUGGCAUGACARACUCCUCAGUCGGUUUUCCACAAUUCUACCAGAUUCAGCAGAUACUAGACAGGUUCUUAAAGAGUUGCUUU
RNAcentral lists this small RNA (118 nucleotides) under Lacticaseibacillus paracasei. RNAcentral describes it as "Lactobacillus paracasei mraW". The record is from RNAcentral. Lineage: Bacteria; Bacillati; Bacillota; Bacilli; Lactobacillales; Lactobacillaceae.